AACGUAAGUUAGUAAGACUCCUGGAAGACCACCAGGUUGAUAGGUGAGGGGUGUAAGCAUGGUAACAUGUUCAGCUGACUCAUACUAAUAAGUCGAGGGCUUGAUCUA
This 108-nucleotide non-coding RNA is filed under the name Clostridium sulfidigenes. Its description in RNAcentral is "Bacterial large subunit ribosomal RNA". It matches the Rfam family "Bacterial large subunit ribosomal RNA", at positions 2818 to 2925 of the family's 2925-position model. The record is from Rfam by way of RNAcentral. Lineage: Bacteria; Bacillati; Bacillota; Clostridia; Eubacteriales; Clostridiaceae.